GAUUUUUUCCAAAGCUGCCGUCAGGUGCGGUGCCAGGUGCCACGUUUAUCCCGGGCCUACCGCCGCGGUGCCAGUGAAGCCGCCUGGGAUUCCGGGCAAAGUGGGGCUGUGGGGGGUUCGGCCGAGACGGAGGGGGCCGGGGUGGCGCGGGCGCCCCCUCGCCGUCCCGCCCGCGGGCGUCACCUAAGCCGCCGUUGCCAUGGGCCCGCAGCAGAUGGCCCGGUUUAGGGUUCCGGGGCGGGCGGCGCGCACGGGAUUAGGUGAAUUAGGGAGCCGGAGCAGUGCCGCCGUCGCCGUCGCAGCGCCAUGGAGGACCCCGCCGACCCUGCCGACCCCGCGCGCAUCCCGCAGCCCGGCAAGUGGGCGCUGGUGCGCAGCCUGAACCAGGCGUUCAAGACCUACGCCGUCCUGCCGGGGGACCAUGUGUGGAUGGACCUGAGAUCGGGGCAGGAGUUCGACGUGCCCAUCGGGGCGGUGGUGAAGCUCUGCGACUCUGGGCAGGUCCAGGUGGUGGAUGAUGAAGACAAUGAACACUGGAUCUCUCCGCAGAACGCAACGCACAUCAAGCCUAUGCACCCCACGUCGGUCCACGGCGUGGAGGACAUGAUCCGCCUGGGGGACCUCAACGAGGCGGGCAUCUUGCGCAACCUGCUUAUCCGCUACCGGGACCACCUCAUCUACACGUAUACGGGCUCCAUCCUGGUGGCUGUGAACCCCUACCAGCUGCUCUCCAUCUACUCGCCAGAGCACAUCCGCCAGUAUACCAACAAGAAGAUUGGGGAGAUGCCCCCCCACAUCUUUGCCAUCGCUGACAACUGCUACUUCAACAUGAAACGCAACAGCCGAGACCAGUGCUGCAUCAUCAGUGGGGAAUCUGGGGCCGGGAAGACGGAGAGCACAAAGCUGAUCCUGCAGUUCCUGGCAGCCAUCAGUGGGCAGCACUCGUGGAUUGAGCAGCAGGUCUUGGAGGCCACCCCCAUUCUGGAAGCAUUUGGGAAUGCCAAGACCAUCCGCAAUGACAACUCAAGCCGUUUCGGAAAGUACAUCGACAUCCACUUCAACAAGCGCGGCGCCAUCGAGGGCGCGAAGAUUGAGCAGUACCUGCUGGAAAAGUCACGUGUCUGUCGCCAGGCCCUGGAUGAAAGGAACUACCACGUGUUCUACUGCAUGCUGGAGGGCAUGAGUGAGGAUCAGAAGAAGAAGCUGGGCUUGGGCCAGGCCUCUGACUACAACUACUUGGCCAUGGGUAACUGCAUAACCUGUGAGGGCCGGGUGGACAGCCAGGAGUACGCCAACAUCCGCUCCGCCAUGAAGGUGCUCAUGUUCACUGACACCGAGAACUGGGAGAUCUCGAAGCUCCUGGCUGCCAUCCUGCACCUGGGCAACCUGCAGUAUGAGGCACGCACAUUUGAAAACCUGGAUGCCUGUGAGGUCCUCUUCUCCCCAUCGCUGGCCACAGCUGCAUCCCUGCUUGAGGUGAACCCCCCAGACCUGAUGAGCUGCCUGACCAGCCGCACCCUCAUCACCCGCGGGGAGACGGUGUCCACCCCACUGAGCAGGGAACAGGCACUGGACGUACGCGACGCCUUCGUAAAGGGGAUCUACGGGCGGCUGUUUGUGUGGAUUGUGGACAAGAUCAACGCAGCAAUUUACAAGCCUCCCUCCCAGGAUGUGAAGAACUCUCGCAGGUCCAUCGGCCUCCUGGACAUCUUUGGGUUCGAGAACUUUGCUGUGAACAGCUUUGAGCAGCUCUGCAUCAACUUCGCCAAUGAGCACCUGCAGCAGUUCUUUGUGCGGCAUGUGUUCAAGCUGGAGCAGGAGGAAUAUGACCUGGAGAGCAUUGACUGGCUGCAUAUCGAGUUCACCGACAACCAGGAUGCCCUGGACAUGAUUGCCAACAAGCCCAUGAACAUCAUCUCCCUCAUCGAUGAGGAGAGCAAGUUCCCCAAGGGCACAGACACCACCAUGUUACACAAGCUGAACUCCCAGCACAAGCUCAACGCCAACUACAUUCCCCCCAAGAACAACCAUGAGACCCAGUUUGGCAUCAACCAUUUCGCAGGCGUCGUCUACUAUGAGACCCAAGGCUUCCUGGAGAAGAACCGAGACACCCUGCAUGGGGACAUUAUCCAGCUGGUCCACUCCUCCAGGAACAAGUUCAUCAAGCAGAUCUUCCAGGCCGAUGUCGCCAUGGGCGCCGAGACCAGGAAGCGCUCGCCCACACUUAGCAGCCAGUUCAAGCGGUCACUGGAGCUGCUGAUGCGCACGCUGGGUGCCUGCCAGCCCUUCUUUGUGCGAUGCAUCAAGCCCAAUGAGUUCAAGAAGCCCAUGCUGUUCGACCGGCACCUGUGCGUGCGCCAGCUGCGGUAUUCAGGAAUGAUGGAGACCAUCCGAAUCCGCCGAGCUGGCUACCCCAUCCGCUACAGCUUCGUAGAGUUUGUGGAGCGGUACCGUGUGCUGCUGCCAGGUGUGAAGCCGGCCUACAAGCAGGGCGACCUCCGCGGGACUUGCCAGCGCAUGGCUGAGGCUGUGCUGGGCACCCACGAUGACUGGCAGAUAGGCAAAACCAAGAUCUUUCUGAAGGACCACCAUGACAUGCUGCUGGAAGUGGAGCGGGACAAAGCCAUCACCGACAGAGUCAUCCUCCUUCAGAAAGUCAUCCGGGGGUUCAAAGACAGGUCUAACUUUUUGAAACUGAAGAACGCUGCCACACUGAUCCAGAGACACUGGCGGGGUCACAACUGUAGGAAGAACUACGGGCUGAUGCGUCUGGGCUUCCUGCGGCUGCAGGCCCUGCACCGCUCCCAGAAGCUGCACCAGCAGUACCGCCUGGCCCGCCAGCGCAUCAUCCAGUUCCAGGCCCGCUGCCGCGCCUAUCUGGUGCGCAAGGCCUUCCGCCACCGCCUCUGGGCUGUGCUCACCGUGCAGGCCUAUGCCCGGGGCAUGAUCGCCCGCAGGCUGCACCAACGCCUCAGGGCCGAGUACCUGCGGCGCCUCGAGGCUGAGAAAAUGAGGCUGGCGGAGGAAGAGAAGCUUCGGAAGGAGAUGAGCGCCAAGAAGGCCAAGGAGGAGGCCGAGCGCAAGCAUCAGGAGCGCCUGGCCCAGCUGGCUCGUGAGGACGCUGAGCGGGAGCUGAAGGAGAAGGAGGCCGCUCGGCGGAAGAAGGAGCUCCUGGAGCAGAUGGAAAGGGCCCGCCACGAGCCUGUCAAUCACUCAGACAUGGUGGACAAGAUGUUUGGCUUCCUGGGGACUUCAGGUGGCCUGCCAGGCCAGGAGGGCCAGGCACCUAGUGGCUUUGAGGACCUGGAGCGAGGGCGGAGGGAGAUGGUGGAGGAGGACCUGGAUGCAGCCCUGCCCCUGCCUGACGAGGAUGAGGAGGACCUCUCUGAGUAUAAAUUUGCCAAGUUCGCUGCCACCUACUUCCAGGGGACAACCACGCACUCCUACACCCGGCGGCCACUCAAACAGCCACUACUCUACCAUGACGACGAGGGUGACCAGCUGGCAGCCCUGGCGGUCUGGAUCACCAUCCUCCGCUUCAUGGGGGACCUCCCUGAGCCCAAGUACCACACAGCCAUGAGUGAUGGCAGUGAGAAGAUCCCUGUGAUGACCAAGAUUUAUGAGACCCUGGGCAAGAAGACGUACAAGAGGGAGCUGCAGGCCCUGCAGGGCGAGGGCGAGGCCCAGCUCCCCGAGGGCCAGAAGAAGAGCAGUGUGAGGCACAAGCUGGUGCAUUUGACUCUGAAAAAGAAGUCCAAGCUCACAGAGGAGGUGACCAAGAGGCUGCAUGACGGGGAGUCCACAGUGCAGGGCAACAGCAUGCUGGAGGACCGGCCCACCUCCAACCUGGAGAAGCUGCACUUCAUCAUCGGCAAUGGCAUCCUGCGGCCAGCACUCCGGGACGAGAUCUACUGCCAGAUCAGCAAGCAGCUGACCCACAACCCCUCCAAGAGCAGCUAUGCCCGGGGCUGGAUUCUCGUGUCUCUCUGCGUGGGCUGUUUCGCCCCCUCCGAGAAGUUUGUCAAGUACCUGCGGAACUUCAUCCACGGGGGCCCGCCCGGCUACGCCCCGUACUGUGAGGAGCGCCUGAGAAGGACCUUUGUCAAUGGGACACGGACACAGCCGCCCAGCUGGCUGGAGCUGCAGGCCACCAAGUCCAAGAAGCCAAUCAUGUUGCCCGUGACAUUCAUGGAUGGGACCACCAAGACCCUGCUGACGGACUCGGCAACCACGGCCAAGGAGCUCUGCAACGCGCUGGCCGACAAGAUCUCUCUCAAGGACCGGUUCGGGUUCUCCCUCUACAUUGCCCUGUUUGACAAGGUGUCCUCCCUGGGCAGCGGCAGUGACCACGUCAUGGACGCCAUCUCCCAGUGCGAGCAGUACGCCAAGGAGCAGGGCGCCCAGGAGCGCAACGCCCCCUGGAGGCUCUUCUUCCGCAAAGAGGUCUUCACGCCCUGGCACAGCCCCUCCGAGGACAACGUGGCCACCAACCUCAUCUACCAGCAGGUGGUGCGAGGAGUCAAGUUUGGGGAGUACAGGUGUGAGAAGGAGGACGACCUGGCUGAGCUGGCCUCCCAGCAGUACUUUGUGGACUAUGGCUCUGAGAUGAUCCUGGAGCGCCUCCUGAACCUCGUGCCCACCUACAUCCCCGACCGCGAGAUCACGCCCCUGAAGACGCUGGAGAAGUGGGCCCAGCUGGCCAUCGCCGCCCACAAGAAGGGGAUUUAUGCCCAGAGGAGAACUGAUGCCCAGAAGGUCAAAGAGGAUGUGGUCAAUUAUGCCCGCUUCAAGUGGCCCUUGCUCUUCUCCAGGUUUUAUGAAGCCUACAAAUUCUCAGGCCCCAGUCUCCCCAAGAAUGACGUCAUCGUGGCCGUCAACUGGACGGGUGUGUACUUUGUGGAUGAGCAGGAGCAGGUACUUCUGGAGCUGUCCUUCCCAGAGAUCAUGGCCGUGUCCAGCAGCAGGGAGUGCCGUGUCUGGCUCUCACUGGGCUGCUCUGAUCUUGGCUGUGCUGCGCCUCACUCAGGCUGGGCAGGACUGACCCCGGCGGGGCCCUGUUCUCCAUGUUGGUCCUGCAGGGGAGCGAAAACGACGGCCCCCAGCUUCACGCUGGCCACCAUCAAGGGGGACGAAUACACCUUCACCUCCAGCAAUGCUGAGGACAUUCGUGACCUGGUGGUCACCUUCCUAGAGGGGCUCCGGAAGAGAUCUAAGUAUGUUGUGGCCCUGCAGGAUAACCCCAACCCCGCAGGUGAGGAGUCAGGCUUCCUCAGCUUUGCCAAGGGAGACCUCAUCAUCCUGGACCAUGACACGGGCGAGCAGGUCAUGAACUCGGGCUGGGCCAACGGCAUCAAUGAGAGGACCAAGCAGCGUGGGGACUUCCCCACCGACAGUGUGUACGUCAUGCCCACUGUCACCAUGCCACCGCGGGACAUUGUGGCCCUGGUCACCAUGACUCCCGACCAGAGGCAGGACGUUGUCCGGCUCUUGCAGCUGCGAACGGCAGAGCCCGAGGUGCGUGCCAAGCCCUACACGCUGGAGGAGUUUUCCUAUGACUACUUCAGGCCCCCACCCAAGCACACGCUGAGCCGUGUCAUGGUGUCCAAGGCCCGAGGCAAGGACCGGCUGUGGAGCCACACGCGGGAACCGCUCAAGCAGGCGCUGCUCAAGAAGCUCCUGGGCAGUGAGGAGCUCUCGCAGGAGGCCUGCCUGGCCUUCAUUGCUGUGCUCAAGUACAUGGGCGACUACCCGUCCAAGAGGACACGCUCCGUCAACGAGCUCACCGACCAGAUCUUUGAGGGUCCCCUGAAAGCCGAGCCCCUGAAGGACGAGGCAUAUGUGCAGAUCCUGAAGCAGCUGACCGACAACCACAUCAGGUACAGCGAGGAGCGGGGUUGGGAGCUGCUCUGGCUGUGCACGGGCCUCUUCCCACCCAGCAACAUCCUCCUGCCCCACGUGCAGCGCUUCCUGCAGUCCCGAAAGCACUGCCCACUCGCCAUCGACUGCCUGCAACGGCUCCAGAAAGCCCUGAGAAACGGGUCCCGGAAGUACCCUCCGCACCUGGUGGAGGUGGAGGCCAUCCAGCACAAGACCACCCAGAUUUUCCACAAGGUCUACUUCCCUGAUGACACUGACGAGGCCUUCGAAGUGGAGUCCAGCACCAAGGCCAAGGACUUCUGCCAGAACAUCGCCACCAGGCUGCUCCUCAAGUCCUCAGAGGGAUUCAGCCUCUUUGUCAAAAUUGCAGACAAGGUCAUCAGCGUUCCUGAGAAUGACUUCUUCUUUGACUUUGUUCGACACUUGACAGACUGGAUAAAGAAAGCUCGGCCCAUCAAGGACGGAAUUGUGCCCUCACUCACCUACCAGGUGUUCUUCAUGAAGAAGCUGUGGACCACCACGGUGCCAGGGAAGGAUCCCAUGGCCGAUUCCAUCUUCCACUAUUACCAGGAGUUGCCCAAGUAUCUCCGAGGCUACCACAAGUGCACGCGGGAGGAGGUGCUGCAGCUGGGGGCGCUGAUCUACAGGGUCAAGUUCGAGGAGGACAAGUCCUACUUCCCCAGCAUCCCCAAGCUGCUGUGGGAGCUGGUGCCCCAGGACCUUAUCCGGCAGGUCUCACCUGAUGACUGGAAGCGGUCCAUCGUCGCCUACUUCAACAAGCACGCAGGGAAGUCCAAGGAGGAGGCCAAGCUGGCCUUCCUGAAGCUCAUCUUCAAGUGGCCCACCUUUGGCUCAGCCUUCUUCGAGGUGAAGCUAGGAUGGGAGGCCUUUUGAGGAGCUUGGCUGUGCGAGGAGAACAGCAAACUACGGAGCCAAACUUCCCUGAGAUCCUCCUAAUUGCCAUCAACAAGUAUGGGGUCAGCCUCAUCGAUCCCAAAACGAAGGAUAUCCUCACCACUCAUCCCUUCACCAAGAUCUCCAACUGGAGCAGCGGCAACACCUACUUCCACAUCACCAUCGGGAACUUGGUGCGCGGGAGCAAACUGCUCUGCGAGACGUCACUGGGCUACAAGAUGGAUGACCUCCUGACUUCCUACAUUAGCCAGAUGCUCACAGCCAUGAGCAAACAGCGGGGCUCCAGGAGCGACCAGCCCCACCAUGCAACUUCCUUUGACUUUCUGUGUACCACUGGGAUAGAGGAAUCAAGAGGACAAUCUAGCUCUCCAUACUUUGAACAACCAAAUGUGCACUGAAUACUCUGAAACCGAAGGGACUGGAUCUGCAGGUGGGAUGAGGGAGACAGACCACUUUUCUAUAUUGCAGUGUGAAUGCUGGGCCCCUGCUCAAGUCUACCCUGAUCACCUCAGGGCAUAAAGCAUGUUUCAUUCUCUGG
Pan troglodytes (chimpanzee) is the source of this 7330-nucleotide RNA transcript. It is a transcript of the gene named myosin VIIA, with no coding region annotated. The transcript has 50 exons. The record is from RefSeq and is a predicted model, not a curated record. Lineage: Eukaryota; Metazoa; Chordata; Mammalia; Primates; Hominidae.